RNAcentral lists this long non-coding RNA (551 nucleotides) under Rattus norvegicus (Norway rat). RNAcentral describes it as "long non-coding RNA NONRATT010624". The record is from RNAcentral. Lineage: Eukaryota; Metazoa; Chordata; Mammalia; Rodentia; Muridae.
GGCGCUCCCUGUCAGCCCUCCGGGAUGAUCCCCUGCCUGCUGCAGAAGGGGCUCAUGAAAACACAGCUGUACUUGCUGAGGGGAGCCAGAUAUCGGUGUCCCCUGAGAGGCUCUGUCAGAGCCCUACAAAUACAGAUGAGGAUGCUUGCAGCUAAACGUUGGACUGAACAAGGGGACCCCAAUGGAGGAGUUAGAGAAAAGUCUGAAGGAGCUGAAGGGGUUUGCAACACCAUAAGAAGAACAACGGUAUCAACCAAUCAGAGGCCACCAGAGCUCCCAGGGAGUAAAGUGGUGCAUGUGGAGGGACCCAUGACUCGAGCCAGGGAGCUGGAAGCUGUGGAACAGAACAAGUGACUGUAGAUGCCAUAGUGCACAUAAGGCCGGCCUGACUGCUGCAGGGAUUGCAAAGAAAGCAAGAAGGCUGAGGAUUUGUGUUCCUUCUUCCUUGAAACAGAAACCCUGCUGACUAUUUCAUGAGGCUCCCAGGCCUUUGUUUUAAAGUGGCUUAUGUAACACACUGUGAAAAUAUAAUAAAACAUAGCCUUCAAGUG